UGAGUAACGCGUGGGAAUCUACCCUUUAGUUGGGGACAACAUAUGGAAACGUAUGCUAAUACCGAAUAUGCUCUACGGAGUAAAGGUGCCCUCUCCUUGGAAGGUAUCGCUAAAGGAUGAGCCCGCGUUAGAUUAGCUAGUUGGUAAGGUAAAGGCUUACCAAGGCGACGAUCUAUAGCUGGUUUGAGAGGAUGAUCAGCCACACUGGGACUGAGACACGGCCCAGACUCCUACGGGAGGCAGCAGUGGGGAAUAUUGCACAAUGAGGGAAACCUUGAUGCAGCCAUGCCGCGUGUGUGAAGAAGGCCCGAGGGUUGUAAAGCACUUUCAAUUGUGAGGAAGAUUAAGUAGCUAAUACCUGCUUAGUUUGACGUUAACUUUAGAAGAAGCACCGGCUAACUCUGUGCCAGCAGCCGCGGUAAUACAGAGGGUGCAAGCGUUAUUCGGAAUUACUGGGCGUAAAGCGCGCGUAGGCGGACUGUUAAGUCGGUUGUGAAAGCCCUGGGCUCAACCUAGGAACUGCAUCCGAUACUGGCAAUCUAGAGUUUAAGAGAGGGAAGUGGGAUUCCAGGUGUAGCAGUGAAAUGCGUAGAUAUCUGGAGGAACA
RNAcentral lists this ribosomal RNA (607 nucleotides) under uncultured bacterium. Its description in RNAcentral is "bacterial SSU rRNA". It matches the Rfam family "Bacterial small subunit ribosomal RNA", at positions 107 to 708 of the family's 1533-position model. The record is from RNAcentral.